UACGUAGGGUGCAAGCGUUAAUCGGAAUUACUGGGCGUAAAGCGUGCGCAGGCGGUUAUGUAAGUCAGAUGUGAAAUCCCCGGGCUCAACCUGGGAACUGCAUUUGUGACUGCAUAGCUAGAGUACGGUAGAGGGGGAUGGAAUUCCGCGUGUAGCAGUGAAAUGCGUAGAUAUGCGGAGGAACACCGAUGGCGAAGGCAAUCCCCUGGACCUGUACUGACACUCAUGCACGAAAGCGUGGGGAGCAAACAGG
This 253-nucleotide ribosomal RNA is filed under the name uncultured bacterium. RNAcentral describes it as "partial 16S ribosomal RNA". It matches the Rfam family "Bacterial small subunit ribosomal RNA", at positions 524 to 776 of the family's 1533-position model. The record is from RNAcentral.